RNAcentral lists this ribosomal RNA (495 nucleotides) under uncultured bacterium. Its description in RNAcentral is "partial 16S ribosomal RNA". It matches the Rfam family "Bacterial small subunit ribosomal RNA", at positions 29 to 506 of the family's 1533-position model. The record is from RNAcentral.
AUGAACGCUGGCGGCGUGCCUAAUACAUGCCAGUCGAGCGAACGGACGAGAAGCUUGCUUCUCUGAUGUUAGCGGCGGACGGGUGAGUAACACGUGGAUAACCUACCUAUAAGACUGGGAUAACUUCGGGAAACCGGAGCUAAUACCGGAUAAUAUUUUGAACCGCAUGGUUCAAAAGUAAAAGACGGUCUUGCUGUCACUUAUAGAUGGAUCCGCGCUGCAUUAGCUAGUUGGUAAGGUAACGGCUUACCAAGGCAACGAUGCAUAGCCGACCUGAGAGGGUGAUCGGCCACACUGGAACUGAGACACGGUCCAGACUCCUACGGGAGGCAGCAGUAGGGAAUCUUCCGCAAUGGGCGAAAGCCUGACGGAGCAACGCCGCGUGAGUGAUGAAGGUCUUCGGAUCGUAAAACUCUGUUAUUAGGGAAGAACAUAUGUGUAAGUAACUGUGCACAUCUUGACGGUACCUAAUCAGAAAGCCACGGCUAACUACGU